UGGGAAUUUUGGACAAUUGGGCGAAAGCCUGAUCCAGCAAUGCCGCGUGUGUGAAGAAGGCCUUCGGGUUGUAAAGCACUUUUGUCCGGAAAGAAAUCCUUGGCUCUAAUACAGUCGGGGGAUGACGGUACCGGAAGAAUAAGCACCGGCUAACUACGUGCCAGCAGCCGCGGUAAUACGUAGGGUGCAAGCGUUAAUCGGAAUUACUGGGCGUAAAGCGUGCGCAGGCGGUUUGCUAAGACCGAUGUGAAAUCCCCGGGCUCAACCUGGGAACUGCAUUGGUGACUGGCAGGCUAGAGUAUGGCAGAGGGGGGUAGAAUUCCACGUGUAGCAGUGAAGUGCGUAGAGAUGUGAGGAAUACCGAUGGCGAAGGCAGCCCCCUGGGCCAAUACUGACGCUCAUGCACGAAAGCGUGGGGAGCAAACAGGAUUAGAUACCCUGGUAGUCCACGCCCUAAACGAUGUCAACUAGUUGUUGGGGAUUCAUUUCCUAGUAACGUAGCUAACGCGUGAAGUUGACCGCCUGGGGAGUACGGUCGCAAGAUUAAAACUCAAAGGAAUUGACGGGGU
This 569-nucleotide ribosomal RNA is filed under the name uncultured bacterium. RNAcentral's name for it is "partial 16S ribosomal RNA". It matches the Rfam family "Bacterial small subunit ribosomal RNA", at positions 356 to 919 of the family's 1533-position model. The record is from RNAcentral.